This 458-nucleotide ribosomal RNA is filed under the name uncultured bacterium. RNAcentral's name for it is "partial 16S ribosomal RNA". It matches the Rfam family "Bacterial small subunit ribosomal RNA", at positions 338 to 795 of the family's 1533-position model. The record is from RNAcentral.
CCUACGGGUGGCAGCAGUGAGGAAUAUUGGUCAAUGGGCGAGAGCCUGAACCAGCCAAGUCGCGUGAGGGAGUACUGCCCUAUGGGUUGUAAACCUCUUUUGUCGGGGAGCAAAAGCCGGACGUGUCCGGCUGUGAGAGUACCCGAAGAAAAAGCAUCGGCAAACCCCGUGCCAGCAGCCGCGGUAAUACGGAGGAGGCGAGCGUUAUCCGGUUUUAUUGGGUUUAAAGGGGGCGCAGGCGGGUGUUUAAGUUAGCGGCAAAAUCGUGGGGCUCAACCCCAUCCAGCCGUUGAAACUGGGGAUCUAGAGUGUGCGAGAGGUAUGCGGAAUGCGUGGUGUAGCGGUGAAAUGCUUAGAUAUCACGCAGAACCCCGAUUGCGAAGGCAGCCUGCCAAGCCAUGACUGACGCUGAUGCACGAAAGCGUGGGGAUCAAACAGGAUUAGAUACCCCAGUAGUC